UAUUGGGGAUGCAAGCGUUAUCCGGAAUCAUUGGGCGUAAAGCGCCUGUAGGUUGUUUAGUAAGUCUGUUGUUAAAGACUAGGGCUUAACCCUAGAGAAGCAAUGGAAACUAUUAGACUAGAGUAUGGCAGGGGUAGAGGGAAUUUCUAGUGUAGCGGUGAAAUGCGUAGAUAUUAGAAAGAACGCCAAUGGCGAAAGCACUCUACUGGACCAUUACUGACACUCAGAGGCGAAAGCUAGGGUAGCAAAAGGGAUUAGAUACCCCUGUAGUCCUAGCUGUAAAUGAUGGAUACUAGAUGUUGUGUAUAAUACACAGUAUCGUAGCUAACGCCUUAAGUAUCCCGCCCGGGGAGUACGUUCGCAAGGGUG
Molecule: ribosomal RNA, 369 nt
Filed under: uncultured phototrophic eukaryote
Lineage: Eukaryota
Description: SSU rRNA
Rfam family: Bacterial small subunit ribosomal RNA
Source: RNAcentral